GUUGCGGACAGUGUCUGGUGGGUAGUUUGACUGGGGCGGUCUCCUCCUAAAGAGUAACGGAGGAGCACGAAGGUUGGCUAAUCCUGGUCGGACAUCAGGAGGUUAGUGCAAUGGCAUAAGCCAGCUUGACUGCGAGCGUGACGGCGCGAGCAGGUGCGAAAGCAGGUCAUAGUGAUCCGGUGGUUCUGAAUGGAAGGGCCAUCGCUCAACGGAUAAAAGGUACUCCGGGGAUAACAGGCUGAUACCGCCCAAGAGUUCAUAUCGACGGCGGUGUUUGGCACCUCGAUGUCGGCUCAUCACAUCCUGGGGCUGAAGUAGGUCCCAAGGGUAUGGCUGUUCGCCAUUUAAAGUGGUACGCGAGCUGGGUUUAGAACGUCGUGAGACAGUUCGGUCCCUAUCUGCCGUGGGCGCUGGAGAACUGAGGGGGGCUGCUCCUAGUACGAGAGGACCGGAGUGGACGCAUCACUGGUGUUCGGGUUGUCAUGCCAAUGGCACUGCCCGGUAGCUAAAUGCGGAAGAGAUAAGUGCUGAAAGCAUCUAAGCACGAAACUUGCCCCGAGAUGAGUUCUCCCUGAGACUUAGAGUCUCCUGAAGGAACGUUGAAGACGACGACGUUGAUAGGCCGGGUGUGUAAGCGCAGCGAUGCGUUGAGCUAACCGGUACUAAUGAACCGUGAGGCUUAACCUUAC
Molecule: ribosomal RNA, 689 nt
Filed under: Salmonella enterica subsp. enterica serovar Thompson
Lineage: Bacteria; Pseudomonadati; Pseudomonadota; Gammaproteobacteria; Enterobacterales; Enterobacteriaceae
Also listed under: 1 other name
Description: partial 23S ribosomal RNA
Rfam family: Bacterial large subunit ribosomal RNA
Source: RNAcentral